CCCAGUAUGGUGUAGCGGUCCGAACAUUGGACUAUGACUCUGGAAAUCAGAGUUCGAUUCCCUGCUGGGC
Molecule: non-coding RNA, 70 nt
Organism: Phrynosoma platyrhinos (Desert horned lizard)
Lineage: Eukaryota; Metazoa; Chordata; Lepidosauria; Squamata; Phrynosomatidae
Source: the annotation of a GenBank genome assembly